RNAcentral lists this ribosomal RNA (253 nucleotides) under uncultured bacterium. RNAcentral describes it as "partial 16S ribosomal RNA". It matches the Rfam family "Bacterial small subunit ribosomal RNA", at positions 524 to 776 of the family's 1533-position model. The record is from RNAcentral.
UACGGGGGGGGCAAGCGUUGUUCGGAAUUACUGGGCGUAAAGGGCUCGUAGGUGGCCAAUUAAGUCAGACGUGAAAUCCUUCGGCUUAACCGGGGAACUGCAUCUGAUACUGGAUGGCUUGAGUUUGGGAGAGGGAUGCGGAAUUCCCGGUGUAGCGGUGAAAUGCGCAGAUAUCGGGAGGAACACCGGUGGCGAAGGCGGUUCUCUGGGCCUGUACUGACGCUGAGGAGCGAAAGCGUGGGGAGCGAACAGG